This 73-nucleotide transfer RNA is filed under the name Mustela putorius furo (domestic ferret). It matches the Rfam family "tRNA". From Rfam's summary of the family: Transfer RNA (tRNA) molecules are approximately 80 nucleotides in length. Lineage: Eukaryota; Metazoa; Chordata; Mammalia; Carnivora; Mustelidae. The record is from Rfam by way of RNAcentral.
ACCUGCCUGGCUCAGUCAGAGGAGCAUGUGAUUUUUGAUCUCAGGACCAUGGGUUCAAGUCCCACAUUAGGUG